UUAUUAUAAACUAAAUUAAAAAAACUAUAGUAGUAUUAGUUAUGUUCUUGAAAUUAAAAAAAUUUGGCGGUAUUUUAGUCUAUUCAGAGGAACCUGUUUCAUAAUCGAUAAUCCACGAUGGACCUUACUUAAUUUUAUAAAGUUUAUAUACCGUCGUUAUAAAUAUUUUAAAAGAAUUAUUAAUUUUUAAUUAUUUAAUAUAAUAAGUUAUAUCAGAUCAAGGUUUAGCUAAUAAUUAAGUGAAAAUGGGUUACAAUAAAUAUAUUUAAAUGAAUUAAAUAAUGAAAUUUAUUUAUGAAAGUGGAUUUGAUAGUAAAAUUAUAGAGAUUAAUAAUUUGAUUAUAGCUCUAAAAUAUGUACAUAUCGCCCGUCACUCUUAUUAAUAAAUAAGAUAAGUCGUAACAUAGUAGAUGUACUGGAAAGUGUAUCUAGAAUG
This 436-nucleotide ribosomal RNA is filed under the name Penicillidia monoceros. RNAcentral's name for it is "partial 12S ribosomal RNA". The record is from RNAcentral. Lineage: Eukaryota; Metazoa; Arthropoda; Insecta; Diptera; Nycteribiidae.